This 468-nucleotide ribosomal RNA is filed under the name uncultured bacterium. RNAcentral's name for it is "partial 16S ribosomal RNA". It matches the Rfam family "Bacterial small subunit ribosomal RNA", at positions 28 to 507 of the family's 1533-position model. The record is from RNAcentral.
GACGAACGCUGGCGGCGUGCUUAACACAUGCAAGUCGAACGGAAAGGCCCUGCUUUUGUGGGGUGCUCGAGUGGCGAACGGGUGAGUAACACGUGAGUAACCUGCCCUUGACUGUGGGAUAACUUCAUGAAACUUGGGCUAAUACCGGAUAGGAGCUCCUGCUGCAUGGUGGGGGUUGGAAAGUUUCGGCGGUUGGGGAUGGACUAGCGGCUUAUCAGGUUGUUGGAGGGGUAGUGGCUUACCAAGGCUUUGAAGGGUAGCAUGCCUGAGAGGGUGACCGGCCACACUGGGCCUGAGCUACGGCACAGACUCCUACGGUAGGCAGCACUGCGGAAUAUUGCACUAUGGGCGGAAGCCUGAUGCAGCAACGCCGCGUGCGGGAUGACGGCCUUCGGGUUGUAAACCGCUUUCGCCUGUGACGAAGCGUGAGUGACGGUAAUGGGUAAAUAAGCACCGGCUAACUCCGUG